UGGGGAAUUUUGGACAAUGGGCGAAAGCCUGAUCCAGCCAUGCCGCGUGCGGGAAGAAGGCCUUCGGGUUGUAAACUGCUUUUGUACGGAGCGAAAAGGUCUGCCCUAAUACGGUGGGCUCAUGACGGUACCGUAAGAAUAAGCACCGGCUAACUACGUGCCAGCAGCCGCGGUAAUACGUAGGGUGCGAGCGUUAAUCGGAAUUACUGGGCGUAAAGCGUGCGCAGGCGGUUUUGUAAGACAGAGGUGAAAUCCCCGGGCUCAACCUGGGAAUUGCCUUUGUGACUGCAAGGCUUGAGUGCGGCAGAGGGGGAUGGAAUUCCGCGUGUAGCAGUGAAAUGCGUAGAUAUGCGGAGGAACACCGAUGGCGAAGGCAAUCCCCUGGACCUGUACUGACGCUCAUGCACGAAAGCGUGGGGAGCAAACA
This 427-nucleotide ribosomal RNA is filed under the name uncultured bacterium. RNAcentral describes it as "bacterial SSU rRNA". It matches the Rfam family "Bacterial small subunit ribosomal RNA", at positions 355 to 774 of the family's 1533-position model. The record is from RNAcentral.